This 301-nucleotide ribosomal RNA is filed under the name uncultured bacterium. RNAcentral's name for it is "partial 16S ribosomal RNA". It matches the Rfam family "Bacterial small subunit ribosomal RNA", at positions 509 to 807 of the family's 1533-position model. The record is from RNAcentral.
CAGUAGCCGCGGGAAUACGAAGGGGGCUAGCGUUGCUCGGAAUGACUGGGCGUAAAGGGCGCGUAGGCGGUUUGCACAGUCAGAUGUGAAAUUCCUGGGCUUAACCUGGGGGCUGCAUUUGAUACGUGCAGGCUUGAGUGUGGAAGAGGGUCGUGGAAUUCCCAGUGUAGAGGUGAAAUUCGUAGAUAUUGGGAAGAACACCGGUGGCGAAGGCGGCGACCUGGUCCAUAACUGACGCUGAGGCGCGAAAGCGUGGAGAGCAAACAGGAUUAGAUACCCCAGUAGUCCCUGUCUCUUAUAC